This 23-nucleotide non-coding RNA is filed under the name Arabidopsis thaliana (thale cress). RNAcentral also lists the same sequence under 1 other name. Lineage: Eukaryota; Viridiplantae; Streptophyta; Magnoliopsida; Brassicales; Brassicaceae. The record is from RNAcentral.
CUUGAUCUUAGCCAAAAGGCCGA